GCCGGGCAUGGUGGUGCAUGCCUGUAGUCCCAGCUACUUGGGAGGCUGAGGCAGGAGAGUAGCUUGAACCCGGGAGGUGGAGGUUGCAGUGAGCCAAGAUUGUGCCACUGCACUCCAGCCUGGGUGAGAGAGCAAGACUCUGUCUCAA
Unclassified non-coding RNA from Pongo abelii (Sumatran orangutan), 148 nucleotides. It matches the Rfam family "Metazoan signal recognition particle RNA". Rfam says of the family: The signal recognition particle (SRP) is a universally conserved ribonucleoprotein. It is involved in the co-translational targeting of proteins to membranes. The record is from Ensembl. Lineage: Eukaryota; Metazoa; Chordata; Mammalia; Primates; Hominidae.